CCACUCUGCCUGGCAUUCUAAAGCUUUUGAAUAGUACUAAGGGAAGGCUCUUUUUACCACCCUUGCCACAACUUCAGUAACUGGAAUUGUGGGAAGAGUUGGAGGGCGUUGCUUAGAAAUGGGAUUGUAGAAGAACUCUACCAGCACUAUGGAAUCCAGAAUCCAUUUCUGCUGCUUAUACAUAAAGAAAUACAAAUAAUCAAGGCUUCUGCCUAAGUUCUGAAUUCAGAGCCUGGGCCAGAGGUCCUGAGUCACACAGAACACGCCAAAUCAGCCCGCUGCACACAGGAAGGUCUGUGCAUGCCCUUCUGAGGUCCUGAGUCACGUGGAAGACACUG
Molecule: long non-coding RNA, 338 nt
Organism: Heterocephalus glaber (naked mole-rat)
Lineage: Eukaryota; Metazoa; Chordata; Mammalia; Rodentia; Bathyergidae
Source: Ensembl